This 302-nucleotide long non-coding RNA is filed under the name Elaeis guineensis (African oil palm). RNAcentral's name for it is "long non-coding RNA (EGUI_LNC030833)". The record is from RNAcentral. Lineage: Eukaryota; Viridiplantae; Streptophyta; Magnoliopsida; Arecales; Arecaceae.
UAACUACUUAUCAGACUAUUAAAUAUGGCCCCAUACGGGUUCCUCCUGCGGCAGUGGGGCCUAUCUCAGCUAAGAUCGUGAGAUGUUUUUGACCGCUAAUUUCCAGGGGCGCUGCCAGGAAAUGGUGUCAUGCAAAUGCUAGGAAUGCAAAGAAACCCAACGUCGUUAUUCAUCCGUCAGGCACAUCUAACGGAACUCUCCCGGUCUGUUGGAUCCAGACGUGAGGGCUUUCCAGCUGUCCAUGGCGCUCUCCUGAUCCAGACACGGGGCCAUCUCCAUGUGCCCUACAAUUACAAACGAGA